GAUGAACGCUGGCGGCGUGCCUAAUACAUGCAAGUCGAGCGAACAGACGAGGAGCUUGCUCCUCUGACGUUAGCGGCGGACGGGUGAGUAACACGUGGAUAACCUACCUAUAAGACUGGGAUAACUUCGGGAAACCGGAGCUAAUACCGGAUAAUAUAUUGAACCGCAUGGUUCAAUAGUGAAAGACGGUUUUGCUGUCACUUAUAGAUGGAUCCGCGCCGCAUUAGCUAGUUGGUAAGGUAACGGCUUACCAAGGCAACGAUGCGUAGCCGACCUGAGAGGUGGAUCGGCACACUGGAACCGAGACACGGUCCCGAAUCCUAAGGGAGGCCGCAGUAGGGAAUUCUGCGCAAUGGGCGGAAGCCUGAACGAGCCAAGCCGGGUGGGUGAAGAAGGUCUUCGGGUUGUAAAACCCUUUUAUUAGGGAAGAACAAAUGUGUAAGUAACUAUGCACGUCUUGACGGUACCUAAUCAGAAAGCCACGGCUAACUACGUG
Molecule: ribosomal RNA, 496 nt
Filed under: uncultured bacterium
Lineage: Bacteria
Description: partial 16S ribosomal RNA
Rfam family: Bacterial small subunit ribosomal RNA
Source: RNAcentral